AGCAGCCGCGGUAAUUCCAGCUCCAAUAGCGUAUAUUAAAGUUGUUGCAGUUAAAAAGCUCGUAGUUGAACUUCGGGGUUCACCCAUUGGUCAGGCUUAAUUGUCUGUACUGGUGAGAUGAAUCUCUACCUUCUGAGGAACUUUCAUAUCAUUAAUUUGAUGUGAUUGGAAAUCAGGACUGUUACUUUGAAAAAUUGAGUGUUUAAAGCAGGCUAACGUCUGAAUACAUUAGCAUGGAAUAAUGAAAUAGGACGGACUGAUUCUAUUUCGUUGGUUUCUAGGAUCACCGUAAUGAUUAAUAGGGAUAGUUGGGGGCAUUAGUAUUCAAUUGUCAGAGGUGAAAUUCUUGGAUUUAUUGAAGACUAACUACUGCGAAAGCAUUUGCCAAGGAUGUUUUCAUUAAUCAAGAACGAAAGUUAGGGGAUCGAAGACGAUCAGAUACCGUCGUAGUCUUAACCAUAAACUAUGCCGACUAGGGAUCGGAACGAAGUUAAUUUAUAAUGACGUCGUUCGGUACCG
This 519-nucleotide ribosomal RNA is filed under the name uncultured Glomeromycotina. RNAcentral's name for it is "SSU rRNA". It matches the Rfam family "Eukaryotic small subunit ribosomal RNA", at positions 569 to 1088 of the family's 1831-position model. Lineage: Eukaryota; Fungi; Glomeromycota. The record is from RNAcentral.